RNAcentral lists this ribosomal RNA (253 nucleotides) under uncultured bacterium. RNAcentral's name for it is "partial 16S ribosomal RNA". It matches the Rfam family "Bacterial small subunit ribosomal RNA", at positions 524 to 776 of the family's 1533-position model. The record is from RNAcentral.
UACGGAGGGGGCUAGCGUUGUUCGGAAUUACUGGGCGUAAAGCGCACGUAGGCGGCUUUGCAAGUUAGAGGUGAAAGCCCGGGGCUCAACUCCGGAAUUGCCUUUAAAACUGCAUCGCUAGAAUUGUGGAGAGGUAAGUGGAAUUCCGAGUGUAGAGGUGAAAUUCGUAGAUAUUCGGAAGAACACCGGUGGCGAAGGCGGCUCACUGGCUCGUAACUGACGCUCAUGCACGACAGCGUGGGGAUCAAACAGG